RNAcentral lists this unclassified non-coding RNA (224 nucleotides) under uncultured Tomentella. Its description in RNAcentral is "sequence contains ITS2". The record is from RNAcentral. Lineage: Eukaryota; Fungi; Basidiomycota; Agaricomycetes; Thelephorales; Thelephoraceae.
ACACCUCAACUCUCGUGGUUUGCCAUGAUGAGCUUGGACUUUGGGGGGUUUUGCUGGCCUAUGGGUCAGCUCCUCUAAAAUGAAUCAGCUUGCCGGUGUUUGGUGGGCAUCACAGGUGUGAUAACUAAUCUACGCUUGUGGUUUUUCCACCAGGUAACCUUCAGCAGUGGAGGUUCACUGGAGCUCACAGAUGUCUCUCCUCAGCGAGGACAGCCCCUUUGAAU